Molecule: long non-coding RNA, 295 nt
Filed under: Panax ginseng (ginseng)
Lineage: Eukaryota; Viridiplantae; Streptophyta; Magnoliopsida; Apiales; Araliaceae
Description: long non-coding RNA (PGIN_LNC013815)
Source: RNAcentral
AAUUGGAUCCGCAAAAAUACGAAUGAGUCCCAACAAAUUUAGCUGUGGCACGUCCGUGUUAUGAAGGACAAGAAGGAACCGCGGGCUUGUAUAACUUUUUAAUUUGGUGGCAAAAAGUCUCCCAUAAAUAUAAUAAUAGCUUUUCACCCUUGGAUGUAACCAAGAUAUAACCAAGUAUCACAUAAGGGGGUGUUCAUUCGGUAAAUACAAGCUCCGGACCGGUAUCAAAAUUAGUUAAAUUCUGAUACUGAUAUCAGAACUGGUUAGAUGGGUGUACCAAAUUGAUUUAUCGGUU